RNAcentral lists this ribosomal RNA (301 nucleotides) under uncultured bacterium. Its description in RNAcentral is "partial 16S ribosomal RNA". It matches the Rfam family "Bacterial small subunit ribosomal RNA", at positions 509 to 807 of the family's 1533-position model. The record is from RNAcentral.
CAGUCGCCGCGGGAAUACGAAGGGUGCAAGCGUUAAUCGGAAUUACUGGGCGUAAAGCGUGCGUAGGCGGUUUGUUAAGUCUGCUGUGAAAUCCCCGGGCUCAACCUGGGAAUGGCAGUGGAUACUGGCAAGCUAGAGUGUGUCAGAGGAUGGUGGAAUUCCCGGUGUAGCGGUGAAAUGCGUAGAGAUCGGGAGGAACAUCAGUGGCGAAGGCGACUAUCUGGGCCAACACUGACACUGAGGCACGAAAGCGUGGGGAGCAAACAGGAUUAGAUACCCGCGUAGUCCCUGUCUCUUAUAC